RNAcentral lists this ribosomal RNA (253 nucleotides) under uncultured bacterium. RNAcentral describes it as "partial 16S ribosomal RNA". It matches the Rfam family "Bacterial small subunit ribosomal RNA", at positions 524 to 776 of the family's 1533-position model. The record is from RNAcentral.
UACGAAGGGUGCUAGCGUUGCUCGGAAUCACUGGGCGUAAAGGGCGCGUAGGCGGGCUGUCAAGUCUGGGGUGAAAUCCCACGGCUCAACCGUGGAACUGCCUUAGAUACUGACGGCCUCGAGGGAGAUAGGGGCGAGCGGAACUGUGAGUGGAGCGGUGAAAUGCGUUGAUAUUCACAGGAACUCCGGUGGCGAAGGCGGCUCGCUGGAUCUUUUCUGACGCUGAGGCGCGAAAGCUAGGGGAGCAAACGGG